CGGACCAGUGAUGAGGCGCGUGACGGGAAGAGUCCUGAAGGAUGAAAGCAUCUCUGAAACUCUGAGGUCUGU
Molecule: small nucleolar RNA, 72 nt
Organism: Phacochoerus africanus (Common warthog)
Lineage: Eukaryota; Metazoa; Chordata; Mammalia; Artiodactyla; Suidae
Product: small nucleolar RNA SNORD113/SNORD114 family
Exons: 1
Source: RefSeq, a predicted model, not a curated record